This 253-nucleotide ribosomal RNA is filed under the name uncultured bacterium. RNAcentral's name for it is "partial 16S ribosomal RNA". It matches the Rfam family "Bacterial small subunit ribosomal RNA", at positions 524 to 776 of the family's 1533-position model. The record is from RNAcentral.
UACGUAGGGUGCGAGCGUUAAUCGGAAUUACUGGGCGUAAAGCGUGCGCAGGCGGUUUUGUAAGUCAGAUGUGAAAUCCCCGGGCUUAACCUGGGAAUGGCAUUUGGGACUGCAAGGCUGGAGUUUGGCAGAGGAGACUGGAAUUCCUGGUGUAGCAGUGAAAUGCGUAGAUAUCAGGAGGAAUACCGAUGGCGAAGGCAGGUCUCUGGGCUAUAACUGACGCUGAGGAGCGAAAGCGUGGGGAGCGAACAGG